UUCAAAGUAAAUCAGCUUGGAUGCUUUUGGCCAUUAUACAAUACAAUGUAUAUGAAAACAACAUGAAAUUUAUAAAAGAACAAAUGCAAUACAAAUUUAAAGUAUUAUGCUAUUAGUUUGCUACGACUACUAUAACAAAAUAACGUAGACUGACUGGGAGGCUUAACCAACAAUAAUCUAUUUUAUGAGAGUUUUGGACAAGAUCUAGGUGCCAGCAGGUACUGUUCUCCUGAGGUCUCUCUCUUUGACUUGCAGAGUCCUCCCUGUGUCCUUGCUUGGUCAUCUCUCUGUGCAGCAGCUCCCCAGUGUCUCUCUCCGUUGCCAAAUUUUCUUAUACAGACGACAGUCAGAUUGGAUCAGGGCUCACACUAACAGCUUCGUUUUAAUUAGUUACCUCUUUGAAGGCGAUACCUCCCAAAACAGUCACCUUCUGUGGCACUGAGUCAUAAGGCGUCAACACAUGAAUUCCGGGAAAACACACUUCAGCCCAUAACACUUACGUUGCUGGGGCUACUGCUCUAACAGCAACCUGCCCACAUUAGGCGCGUUACUGCUCUACAGCGAUAAAGUGAGCCAAUGGGUAGAGAAAUGUGGAAUAGCGCAUCCUGAACCGUGUGAGGGGCUCUGAUCAUCUGUCUGUGGGCUGAAUUCUGGCAAGUGUAGAGCAUCUUGUUAUUUCCUACCUAAUUAAUAGCAUAUCUUGUUUAGGGAGGAUGUAGGAAACUGUAGAGCUGGUUAUUCAUUUCAUGGACUUUAACUUCUGCUGUAUUACUAGCCAAAGUGCCUUUUAACUCAAAGAAAAUGGGCUCUGCAGAAACCUACAAGUUUCAAUGUUGUCAUAAGAGAAAUCAGUGCCUCGAGGAGACUGAGAAAUUUCUCAUAAGGAAGGAAGCAGUGAGGCAAAGGAUAACUAAGAAGAAAGAUAGCACCCACAGGGUUUUUAAAAUGUCUUUGAAGCCAGGACAAUAGACUGGGGAUAGGCAGGGUAUCUUACGAUUUCAAUAACUAAAAGGCAGCACACAUUUAUAACUGCUUUAAAGAAAGGAGACUUUCUUUCACCUUGGAGUUCCCACGCCUUAUACUCAGAGGAAGGCACGAGCUAAAAAUCAGCAAAAUGAUCCUCUGUUUUGUAGAUGAGCAACACAGAUCAUAGGAUUUUUUUCUCCAAAAUUCUAAGAGCUGUUUUGUUUAAUUGAAGAAAGAGAACUCCUGAAGGAUUAUUUAAGUGCCUGCAUGAAGGAGGAAAAUGAAAGAAGUUUCCGUUUACUGAGCACCUACUAUGCACUAAUUGAAAUAGCCAAUUUUAUGGCAUGUUUAAUAUUUUCUAGUCGAUGUUUUUCAUAGAUUUGCUCAUUCACAUCACAAGGAGCUUAUAAAAUAGAUACCAUGAUAAUCGUCACUUUAAGGAUAAGGAAAGGAUUACGGAUGAGAAGUAAAAUAUCUUGCCCAGGAAUAAUCAGGAUUUGGGCCCACAGAGGAUAACUUUAGAACCCCUGUGCUUAAAGACCUAGGACACAAAGUCAUCAUUAUCCCACUUGACCUUCUCCACAGCACUGGGAUGUACAGGUAUUUCCCCACCACACCAAUAAAGAAACUAAAACCAAGAAAGGCUGGAUAAUCAUUUGCUUUAGGUCACAGCUAGCAAAUCACAGAGCCAGAAUGGAAUGCCAGGAUUUUCUAACUCCAAAAUCCUUCCAAGAGUGACAUACUGCCUUUCUCUAUAGUUCUCUCAGGGUGGGUGAUAGAAGAAUAUAACAGGAAUAUUAAAACAUUAUUUCAUUCUUUAGCUAAGAAAGCACUGUAUCCUAAAUAGAAAGGUAUUUCCGACUAGAAUAUUUAUAAAGGUUAAUGAGAAACAAAAUGAACUGAAAACCAGCAGGGAAAUAUUCCCGGCUAUAAAUACCAAACUUAUACAUUUCUAAUUAUAUAAGAAAAUAUCCCAAGCAGAAAGUCAAAUUUUUUCAUCAGAUGCAGGUGAAUCAUCUGAGCAACAUUUUUACCACUUUCUAUCUCUAUUUUGAGGUUAACACUGACUGAACAUUGGCAAUAUCACAGUAUUCAAUCAAAUGUUGUUGAAGUAAAAUGUAGGUGCUUAAAAGGGGAAUUGAGGACUCAACUUCUGUGGCGAGGAUCUUCUCACCAAAUCAAAGAAGAGAAUCUGAUUUCUCCUGUCUUUCUCCGUGAAAAUUAUGACGAUGUUUUACAUUUUUAUCAAAAGGUGGAAAGGGGGUAAAAAGUGAUGGAGUAGAUUGGGCAUUUUUUAAUUUUCAUUUAUUUAUACAUUUUUGUCUUUUUAGGGCCACACCCUGGGCAUAUGGAAGCUCCCAGGCUAGGGGUUGAAUAGGAGCUGUAGCCACUGGCCUAUACCACAGCCACAGCAAUGCCAGAUCUAAGUCACAUCUGCAACGUACACCACAGCUCAUGGCAACAUGGGGUCCUUAAUCCACUGAGUGAGGCUGGGGAUCGAACCUGCAUCCUCAUGGAUACUAGUAAGAUUGGUUUCUGCUGAGCCAUGAUGGGAACUCCUGGAUUGGGAGUUUUUAAAAUGAAAGUAAACUUUUGCAAAGCUGACAGUAUACAUCUUAUAAAGGCCUCCUUUUCACCAAGUAUAUUCAUGAUUCAUAAGGCAGAUGCCCUGGUGGCAUCUAUCAGCAUCAGCUUGGGCAGCCUUGGCAGCAAACCUCCAAGUACAGGGAGGGACCACAGCAAGAUAACAGCGUUGAUCCAAAGCAAGCAGAGAAUCCAGGGCAAAUUCCCUAGGCCCGGGAGGAGUCUCUCAGCAGGUUCCAAAUCACUGCAUACAUGCCAGGAGUUCAUCAGUCUGUUAAACCGGCUUUUACUAAAGCCAGUUCUCUCUUAAACUAACAGAGAAAAUGAAAACCAGAGGGGGUCAGAUGAUAACUUGCCUUAGGUCACAGAGCUGGCAACUAACAGGAUUCCUUGUCCAUCAGACUAAUGGCAUCUCCUUUGUUAGAUUUAUCUACUCUAAUUUAUUAAAACUCCCUACUUACUGGACCCAGGAGGUUUCACAGUGUUGAAAACACCUAAAAACAAUGACAUCCGAUGUCACCAUCUUUUUCCCCUUGCUUCCUUUGGCAUUCAUCAUCCUGCCUUCCCUAUUCCUGUUAAUGUCAUCAACCCUUCUCUCCAAGUCAAGCAGGCUCAAAAUCAGAGUCAUGUUAAAUUCCUCUCCUGCUCAAGCUCGGCUGAUUCCGAGUCCACAUUAUCUCUAGGACACUGUCAACUACCUCUCAAUUAGACCAUAACAAAGGCUUCCUAAUCCUCUCCUUUCCCCUAAGCACAUUGCCUUCUAAAUCAUCCUUUCUCGAGUCUAUCCUUAUACCACAUCCAAAUUGAGCUUCCUAACAUGUCAUGAUGGUACUCCCCUAAUCAAAAUUCUUUUCUCCCAAGUUAUCCCAAGUGAUUUCUACUGUAUCCCACUUCAUUUUGAAAGCCAUAUAGCAAAUAAUCCAUGAAUAUGGUCUAUGUCAUGCAAGUUGGGUGUGAUCCUCUCAAACUCAUUCAUUUUUGUUUGUAACUUUUAGGUGAUACAUUUUAUUUCUCUUCAUUUUCUCACCUCUCACCCCACUCUUUGUAAUUUUGUCAAGGACAGAGACCACAUCACAGUUUUCCAUCUUUUAUCAUUGCUGCAUAGGUAGCCCAUACAUAUUCACUUUGGCUGAGUCCAGCCUAAUCAAAUGGACCGCAAUUAAAACGUCAAGGCCCACCUAGAGCUAAACCCUCAAGUUUAAGUGAAAUGAAACAAACGCAUAAGAACACUGACACACUUCACACUGCAGUGCAUCUACUAACUGCUAGACUCCGAGUUCAGUGCUUGGAGUCAAGAGAGAUCCAGACCUGCACAUGAACGGGUCCUGCUCUAAGGCAUGACUUUAGGGUGAAGAAAUGAAUAUCGGACAAGGUAGACAUGGUAGGUCACAUUUGAGGAAAGAAAAUGAAGAUGAACCAGAAAACAGACAAAUCAAUUAUGUCUUGGAAAGUACAGUCUGACUUCCUUUAAGCCAACUCCCUGAUGACCGUUUGGUCUAUUACAUUUUAAGGACCUAGCAAUAAAUGAUAGCAGAUUUCUAUCUGAUAAUCCCUUUUUCUUUUUCUUUCUUUCUUUUUUUUUUUUUUUUUUUUUUUUUUUUUUUUUUUUGUCUUUUCUCGGGCCGUACCCGCGGCAUAUAGAGUAGAUUCCCAGGCUAGGGGUCGAAUCAGAGCUGUAGCUGCUGACCUACGCCACAGCCACAGCAACACAGGAUCCAAGCCGCAUCUGAGACCUACUGAAGGCAACGGCGGAUCCCCAACCCACUGGGCGAGGCCAGGGAUCAAACCCGCAACCUCAUGGUUCCUAGUCUAUUCGGUAACCACUGAGCCAUGACAGGAACUCCCUUUGCUAUUCCCUUUUGAGGACAUACACACAGAUUAUGCCUUUCCCCGUUUGUGUCCUUUAUGUGAGCAGUAUCCAAGUGGCCUUCCCAC
RNAcentral lists this long non-coding RNA (4485 nucleotides) under Sus scrofa (pig). RNAcentral's name for it is "lncRNA (ENSSSCG00035008405.1)". Lineage: Eukaryota; Metazoa; Chordata; Mammalia; Artiodactyla; Suidae. The record is from RNAcentral.